This is a non-coding RNA of Salmo salar (Atlantic salmon), 1590 nucleotides long. The record is from RefSeq and is a predicted model, not a curated record. Lineage: Eukaryota; Metazoa; Chordata; Actinopteri; Salmoniformes; Salmonidae.
UACCUGUCUAUCCUGCCAGAAGUUUGAGAGGGUGAAGACUGUGGCGCUGGAGUUGAAGCCCAUCAAAGUUGUUUCAUCAUGGCACAUGAUCGGGGUGGACCUCAUCGGACCCUUCACGAAAUCCAGGAAUGAUAACCGCUGGUGUCUGACGGCAAACGAUUAUUACACCAAGUGGGUGGAGGCAAUACCCAUUAAGGCUGGGCACCUGGCACCAUUUCCCAGUCCCGAUUCCAGUCCCUGUCCUGGGUCCAGGCCUCGCAAGGUGUCCACACCCUACACAGAGGUCAGUAUCCACUGCUUCUGUUGGAAAUAUGUGAGAGAAGGUAAGGGGGUGGCCCGGUGCAGGAGAUGCGGCAAGUAUUUUAACGUGUCUUGUUUGUCUCAUGUCGUCAAUGUGCGGGAAUUUGUCUGUCCAUCGUGUCCAUCAUCUGUUUUGUCUGAUGUUUUCCCAACCAUUGUUUUCACUGCUUGGCCGGCUCCCCGCCUCAAGACAGUAGGUAUUUUACUACAUUGCAUCUUGUUGUAUAAAGUAUGUUAUGGUAAAUAACCUUAAUAACCUGUUGUAAUAUUGUUUUAAAUUUGUAUUAUAAAGAUGUGUUUUCUUGCAGAUAUUGGCAAUGAAGUUGGUAAGUAUAAACCAUAUGUAUCUGUAAAUAUUUGUAUAUUUUUCCAUUUGUUUGCUGGUAAAUAUUUGAAACUUGCUCAAAUUGGAUGUAAAUGUAAACAUUUGCAUAUUAAAUGUAUUCAUUGCAAGUAAAAUGUUCAAUUGACCAGUUCCUUACUGGUCCUUAACCCCUUCUUCCUAACCAUUCAUCUUUGGUGUCCAAUUCCAAAUCAAAUUUUAGGCCAGGGUUGGCAUGGAAUUGGACAUUGGUUUCUAGUUAGUGUUUGUAUAUCUGGAAGUUCUAGAUUUGUUGAGUCAUCACCACAUUGCUACACCUAUCCAAGCCCCAUUAGGUCAAACACUACAAAGAUAGAGUAGGGGGCUAAAGGACUUAAAAUGUUUUAUCCUGUUUUUGUUUUUUUAUCCUUCUCUCGGCCUGUACCUUGACGUGCCGAGAGGGCUUCCAACUAAACCAGGCCCCUGUUAUUGAACCCCUGACUGAGACUGGCUGCCUGUCGAGGACAAGUGACAAGAAGAAUUAGCCACAGCACCUGAUCAAGCAUCUCUUGCUUCUGCCUCCUUCCUCAUCUUUUAACUCUUUCUCUCCUCUCCCUCCAGAUGAAAUUCUGCAUCUAGUGACUUCUGAUUUCCCAACAAUCUGCCCACUCAUCCCAUCCCCUCCUCAUUACAUAAUUUAAAGCUACUGUUAUUGUCAUGUUGUCAUUAUCUGCUAAUAAAGUUUGCGAGCCAUAUCAUACUGGGCAUAUAAUAUGUGAGAUACACAGAUGAAGUAAAAACUACUAGUACUGCAAACACUCAGAACAAGGAGAGCAGCAGUGCCUGGACUUCGCAGUCUCCCUCUUCAAGUCCCCCUUCCGAGACUGUCUGUUGAGAACAAGUGACAGGCAGAACCUCACACCCACACAGCACCCACCUCUUUAUUCCACACACCAGAAUUAAGUAUUUCUGUCUGCCAUGUGUGUACA